AUGUAUCUGUUGGACUCCAGUCUGCCAUUACAGGAACUCAAAUCUUGGAGAACAUUUCAAGAAUCCAGCCUGGCUGUUCAAAUUAGAAUACAGUUCAGCCUUUCUACUAUCUUCAAAUAAAGUUGUUUUAACCUUCACUGAUUUAUGUUUUCUGGGUCCAG
This 161-nucleotide long non-coding RNA is filed under the name Dasypus novemcinctus (nine-banded armadillo). RNAcentral describes it as "lncRNA (ENSDNOG00000052578.1)". The record is from RNAcentral. Lineage: Eukaryota; Metazoa; Chordata; Mammalia; Cingulata; Dasypodidae.